GAGCUGGACCGAUACUCCCCUGAAACAUUGAUAGAUGAGGGCAGGAAGGCUAGGAGGUUCCAGUGGGGCCUCCGCCCAGAGAUCAAGCAGCACUUAUUGGUACUAGACCUCAAGACAUAUUCAGCCGUUCUGACAAAGGCGCAGAUCAUGGAGAGGAGUUUCAACACCCUUCCUCAGUCAGCAGGGAGUCACAGACCCUCAGCUCCACCCCGCAGACUAGCACCUACUGCACCUGUCCAAUAAAAUAAGAGGCCCAGACCGACGAUCC
Molecule: long non-coding RNA, 268 nt
Filed under: Carica papaya (papaya)
Lineage: Eukaryota; Viridiplantae; Streptophyta; Magnoliopsida; Brassicales; Caricaceae
Description: long non-coding RNA (CPAP_LNC016492)
Source: RNAcentral